Molecule: long non-coding RNA, 1762 nt
Organism: Gadus macrocephalus (Pacific cod)
Lineage: Eukaryota; Metazoa; Chordata; Actinopteri; Gadiformes; Gadidae
Exons: 3
Source: RefSeq, a predicted model, not a curated record
CUCGCUGGGCGUUCAAUUUAACUUUUCUUAUAAACCCUCGUGGACUUCAUAUCAAGAUUUAUUCGACGUUUUUGGUGUUAACGCGACGAGCGCGAUUGAACUGGCGGCAGGGGAGGGGACGUACACUACAGUUGACCAAGAAAAACACUGUCGCUGUUUGAAGAUGAAAGCAGAUCUUUUGUUUUGGAAUGCGGUUCUUGGAAGGAUUUUGUCGCAACAGACGGGAAGCCAGCCUUUCCUUCCAUCUUCGGUGCAGUGUUUCCUGUACAAGUACCCGUUCCUUCCUCAUUACAUCUGAGGUGAGUUACCUCUUCGUCAUCUUCCUCAGAUUUAAUGGUAUGUUGGCCGUCUUCAGCCAGUUGAGUUGCAUGUUUAGAACGUGGUGGGCACUUGUUAUAUUUAUACCCUUUCCCGUUUCCCAAUUCCUGGUGUUUUCUUUCAUGGCUUCUCUUUGUGGCAAGGUAUAGAAAGCGCUGGGGACAAAAUGAGCAGUGGUACUUCUUCUCAGUGCUGCAUCUCUGCGGUGUGUUAUCGAAGCAGGAGCCGCUUUCCAUGCAGUUGUUGCAGACGUAAUCUCCACCGGCAGGCACCUCCCCGGGUGGACCCUGUUCUCCACACGUCCGACAGAAACACGGAUGGGAACCAAUUACAUGGGCCCUCAAGCCGGACUCUGUGAUGAAGGAGCUGUCGCAGAUGUCACAUUUGUAGGAGGCUCUUGGCGAACGGUUCCUGAUGUUGCAUUGUGUGUCCGUGCUGUUGGCUGAGGUACUAUUGUCUGUUGCCAGGCUUCUCCUCUCUGGGUAUCCCUCUUUGGCUGGAGCUCUGGCUACUGAAGUUGGAGGUUGCUUCAUGAUUUCCAAUUGAAUACAUCACAGAAAACAACAGGCAGCCAACUGCAUGCAGCCAAUUUUACAUAGACAGCAGUUGGUGAGUCAUCCGUUUCCGUUUUAAUAGCCCUUUCUUUCAAUCAUUACUGGUACACAGCAAAAGAGAAACAUUGAUUCUCCCACCCACAUAUCUGUAUCAGAUCAAACAGAUACAGCAAUGAACUUAAUAACAUACAAAAGUUGUUGUUAGUGAUUAACAUUGUGAUAACAAUGAAUUUAAAAGCCAUAGAUUAAUAGUUUGGGCCUUGAAGUCUACCGACCUUUACCUCACAGGAUGGUUGAUGGUCAAUUCUAAGCCAACGUGCCUGUAGUUUGACAAGGGUGUUUCAGCAGGUUAAAAUUGAUUCAUGUCUGAUUACGGUGGGCAGUGAGUCAGUUCUUGAGUGAAUCAUCGUGCCUCAAAUAAGAUAGACUGUUUCAUUAAAACAAUAAAGUUAUUUUUUGUGGUGAAGUAAUGAAGUUAAAAUAGACUCUCUGCAUUUCAUUUCACAAUCUUGAUGAAUAAGAUCACCCAUUGUGUAAUAUAUUGAUCCACAGGAUCACUCAUUUCAUUUUGGAUUUCACAAUGUUUUCAGAGUUAGUAAGAUGCUCAGCUUGAUGGAAUAGCCUUUUAUAGGGCGACACCUUGGUUAUAUUGAUUGAUAAAAUAAAAUAAAAACAAUUACUAUGCUUUUGUUAGUCCGCUUGAUAAAUAGAGUACCAGAUAUAAGUAAUUAAUCUGACAGCAUAAAUUUGGUUCUGGCAAAAAAGUCCCAAAACAUUUCUAAAGAUUGUUCUGAUAGAUGGAUACCUCAAUAUAAAAAAAAAACAACGAUAUUAAAUGCCAUCCAAUGUACAUUUUUAACAUUUUGGUUUCUAAAAUAUUUGUUAUUUUG